AUUCAUUAACCUAUGAGUAAAAAAAAAUCCUAAUAUAGCUUAUUUAAAAGUAUUUUAAACUGAAAAUUAUUUCAUUUAAUAAAAUAAAUUUAAUUUCACAAAAUAAAAUAAAAUUUUAACUUAUUAAAAUUAAAAAAGUUAAUUAAAUUACCAAAAGAGUUAAAAACAAAAUCCAUGAACACAAAGAACUGCAAUAAAGAAG
RNAcentral lists this unclassified non-coding RNA (202 nucleotides) under Hevea brasiliensis (rubber tree). The record is from RNAcentral. Lineage: Eukaryota; Viridiplantae; Streptophyta; Magnoliopsida; Malpighiales; Euphorbiaceae.